This 253-nucleotide ribosomal RNA is filed under the name uncultured bacterium. Its description in RNAcentral is "partial 16S ribosomal RNA". It matches the Rfam family "Bacterial small subunit ribosomal RNA", at positions 524 to 776 of the family's 1533-position model. The record is from RNAcentral.
UACGGGGGGGGCAAGCGUUGUUCGGAAUUACUGGGCGUAAAGGGCUCGUAGGCGGCCAACUAAGUCAGACGUGAAAUCCCCAGGCUCAACCCGGGAACUGCGUCCGAUACUGGCAGGCUUGAAUUCGGGAGAGGGAUGUGGAAUUCCAGGUGUAGCGGUGAAAUGCGUAGAUAUCUGGAGGAACACCGGUGGCGAAGGCGGCAUCCUGGACCGAUAUUGACGCUGAUGCGCGAAAGCCAGGGGAGCAAACGGG